CUUCUUUGCUGGCGACCGGCGCACGGGUGAGUAACACGUAUCCAACCUGCCCUUUACUCGGGGAUAGCCUUUCGAAAGAAAGAUUAAUACCCGAUAGCAUAAUGAUUCCGCAUGGUUUCAUUAUUAAAGGAUUCCGGUAAAGGAUGGGGAUGCGUUCCAUUAGGUUGUUGGUGAGGUAACGGCUCACCAAGCCUUCGAUGGAUAGGGGUUCUGAGAGGAAGGUCCCCCACAUUGGAACUGAGACACGGUCCAA
This 253-nucleotide ribosomal RNA is filed under the name uncultured bacterium. RNAcentral describes it as "partial 16S ribosomal RNA". It matches the Rfam family "Bacterial small subunit ribosomal RNA", at positions 80 to 334 of the family's 1533-position model. The record is from RNAcentral.